GUCAGUGAGUGAGACAGAGGCUUUGGGCCCAAGUGGGCGGGGCAGCAACUAACGAAGAGAAGAGACCUGUGUGGAGAAAGCACCACAGGCCAGCCAGGCCACCAGCUCGCAAGGACAGCUGGGCCUCAGUCCCCCGGACCCCGGCCUCCCGACCUGCCUUCCCUCCACUUGCAGCUGAGCACAGCUGGAGACACUUGGAGGGGGCUUGUGCGGGACAUAUCAGCACACCCACGGCCAUCAGGACCGGGUCAGAGAUGCCCACCAAGGACCCCAUCCAGAGGCCUGGGGAAGGCAGAGUCGCACACCUGCAGGAAACUUGAGUUUUUCCCGCCGUCACUGUUCCUGUGGAGUUCUGGGCUCAGGGACAGGUCUGGUGACAGAAGAGAAUUAAAUUCUAAAUGUAGAGAAUUAAAUUCUAAAUGUGAUCCUCUGUGGUUCCAGACCCAAGUCCUCUCUCCUCACAGGUCCAGUGUGAGCCCCACCAGCCUCCUGAUUCUCACAUUCCCAGUUUAUAUUCAGCAUGUAAACCUGCAAGGCAGGUGAGGGAAACAUGCAAAGAGGACAUUGCUUUGCUGCUUUCAGCAAAAACACAAAGGAAAAAACUUGUGAAGUUACACAGAGAUCUGGAAUUAGAAUGGCUUCAAAUUGAACAGAAAAUGUUCUCACAUCAUCCCCGUGGCCCAGGUAACAGGAGUCAGGAAGGUCUCAGUGGACAAUGCGCUGACAUGAGCUAUACACGUCCCCAGGCCAGUUCCUGCAUGUGGCAUUUACAGCUGCGAUGUCUCAGAGAGAUGGGUCCCAGGGAAGGUGGAAUGCAGGGCAGAAAACAGAAGCAGAAAGAGGGGGAAGUGUGUGAGAACAAGGGUGGCUAAGUCCUCCUGGGGCAGGAUGGCCCAGGAAGAAGCCCAUCCCUGAAUGUGCUACAAAACCUUUCAUUGUGGCCUCUGCCUGUCCCACCCUGUGCCAAAAUAAACCCCCAGGCCAUCCUGAAGAAGCAAGACCUUUCAUUUCACACACAAGUGGCAACUCGUCCCGCUGCCCACAUUGACUGGCC
This 1054-nucleotide long non-coding RNA is filed under the name Capra hircus (goat). RNAcentral's name for it is "lncRNA (ENSCHIG00000007074.1)". The record is from RNAcentral. Lineage: Eukaryota; Metazoa; Chordata; Mammalia; Artiodactyla; Bovidae.